This 99-nucleotide small nucleolar RNA is filed under the name Olea europaea subsp. europaea. Its description in RNAcentral is "Small nucleolar RNA Z161/Z228". It matches the Rfam family "Small nucleolar RNA Z161/Z228". Rfam says of the family: Z161 and Z228 are members of the C/D class of snoRNA which contain the C (UGAUGA) and D (CUGA) box motifs. Most of the members of the box C/D family function in directing site-specific 2'-O-methylation of substrate RNAs. The record is from Rfam by way of RNAcentral. Lineage: Eukaryota; Viridiplantae; Streptophyta; Magnoliopsida; Lamiales; Oleaceae.
AAGCCAUAUGAUGAUGAUGGAUUAGAUUUUCUCACGAUGGUAAUCUGAGACACUUUUAUUUUUCGUUUUUGAUGUAGUGAUCCAAUACUUCUGAUGGUU